AGUGGAAGCGUCUGGAAAGACGCGCGAUACAGGGUGACAGCCCCGUACACAAAAGCGCAUGUGUUGUGAGCUCGAUGAGUAGGGCGGGACACGUGGUAUCCUGUCUGAAUAUGGGGGGACCAUCCUCCAAGGCUAAAUACUCCUGACUGACCGAUAGUGAACCAGUACCGUGAGGGAAAGGCGAAAAGAACCCCGGCGAGGGGAGUGAAAAAGAACCUGAAACCGUGUACGUACAAGCAGUGGGAGCACAGGUUUACCUGUGUGACUGCGUACCUUUUGUAUAAUGGGUCAGCGACUUAUAUUCUGUAGCAAGGUUAACCGAAUAGGGGAGCCGGAGGGAAACCGAGUCUUAAUUGGGCGUUAAGUUGCAGGGUAUAGACCCGAAACCCGGUGAUCUAGCCAUGGGCAGGUUGAAGGUUGGGUAACACUAACUGGAGGACCGAACCGACUAAUGUUGAAAAAUUAGCGGAUGACCUGUGGCUGGGGGUGAAAGGCCAAUCAAACCGGGAGAUAGCUGGUUCUCCCCGAAAGCUAUUUAGGUAGCGCCUCGUGAACUCAUCUCCGGGGGUAGAGCACUGUUUCGGCUAGGGGGCCAUCCCGGCUUACCAACCCGAUGCAAACUGCGAAUACCGGAGAAUGUUAUCACGGGAGACACACGGCGGGUGCUAACGUCCGUCGUGAAGAGGGAAACAACCCAGACCGCCAGCUAAGGUCCCAAAGUCAUGGUUAAGUGGGAAACGAUGUGGGAAGGCCCAGACAGCCAGGAUGUUGGCUUAGAAGCAGCCAUCAUUUAAAGAAAGCGUAAUAGCUCACUGGUCGAGUCGGCCUGCGCGGAAGAUGUAACGGGGCUAAAUCAUGCACCGAAGCUGCGGCAGCGACACUCAGGUGUUGUUGGGUAGGGGAGCGUUCUGUAAGCCUGUGAAGGUGUGUCGUGAGGCAUGCUGGAGGUAUCAGAAGUGCGAAUGCUGACAUAAGUAACGAUAAAGCGGGUGAAAAGCCCGCUCGCCGGAAGACCAAGGGUUCCUGUCCAACGUUAAUCGGGGCAGGGUGAGUCGACCCCUAAGGCGAGGCCGAAAGGCGUAGUC
Molecule: ribosomal RNA, 1085 nt
Filed under: Salmonella enterica
Lineage: Bacteria; Pseudomonadati; Pseudomonadota; Gammaproteobacteria; Enterobacterales; Enterobacteriaceae
Description: partial 23S ribosomal RNA
Rfam family: Bacterial large subunit ribosomal RNA
Source: RNAcentral